GUGUCAGCAGCCGCGGUAAUACGGAAGGGGCAAGCGUUGUUCGGAAUCAUUGGGCGUAAAGGGCGCGUAGGCGGUCCCGUAUGUCUGCUGUGAAAGUACACGGCUCAACCGUGUGAGGUCGGUAGAAACUGCGAGACUUGAGGCUGGGAGAGGUUGGUGGAAUUCCCUGUGUAGCGGUGAAAUGCGUAGAUAUAGGGGAGAACACUCGUGGCGAAGGCAGCCAGCUGGACCAGCCCUGACGCUGAGGCGCGACAGCGUGGGGAGCAAACAGGAUUAGAAACCCCAGUAGUCC
Molecule: ribosomal RNA, 292 nt
Filed under: uncultured bacterium
Lineage: Bacteria
Description: partial 16S ribosomal RNA
Rfam family: Bacterial small subunit ribosomal RNA
Source: RNAcentral